GAUUCAUGAUAACUCCUCGAAUCGCAUAGCCUUGUGCCGGCGAUGGUUCAUUCAAAUUUCUUCCCUAUCAACUUUCGAUGUUUGGGUAUUGGCCAAACAUGGUUGCAACGGGUAACGGAGGGUUAGGGCUCGACCCCGGAGAAGGAGCCUGAGAAACGGCUACUACAUCCAAGGAAGGCAGCAGGCGCGCAAAUUACCCAAUCCCGACACGGGGAGGUAGUGACAAUAAAUACUGAUACAGGGCUCUUUUGGGUCUUGUAAUUGGAAUGAGUACAAUUUAAAUCCCUUAACGAGGAACAAUUGGAGGGCAAGUCUGGUGCCAGCAGCCGCGGUAAUUCCAGCUCCAAUAGCGUAUAUUAAAGUUGUUGUGGUUAAAAAGCUCGUAGUUGAACCUUGGGCCUGGCUGGCCGGUCCGCCUCACCGCGUGUACUGGUCCGGCCGGGCCUUUCCCUCUGUGGAACCCCAUGCCCUUCACUGGGUGUGGCGGGGAACCAGGACUUUUAC
RNAcentral lists this ribosomal RNA (504 nucleotides) under uncultured fungus. RNAcentral's name for it is "SSU rRNA". It matches the Rfam family "Eukaryotic small subunit ribosomal RNA", at positions 248 to 755 of the family's 1831-position model. The record is from RNAcentral. Lineage: Eukaryota; Fungi.